This 459-nucleotide ribosomal RNA is filed under the name uncultured bacterium. RNAcentral describes it as "partial 16S ribosomal RNA". It matches the Rfam family "Bacterial small subunit ribosomal RNA", at positions 339 to 795 of the family's 1533-position model. The record is from RNAcentral.
CUACGGGAGGCAGCAGUGAGGAAUAUUGGUCAAUGGGCGCAAGCCUGAACCAGCCAAGUAGCGUGAAGGAUGACUGCCCUCUGGGUUGUAAACUUCUUUUAUAGGGGAAUAAAGUGCGCCACGUGUGGCGUUUUGUAUGUACCCUACGAAUAAGGACCGGCUAACUCCGUGCCAGCAGCCGCGGUAAUACGGAGGGUCCGAGCGUUAUCCGGAUUUAUUGGGUUUAAAGGGUGCGCAGGCGGGAUGAUAAGUCAGUUGUGAAAGUUGGACGCUCAACGUUCAAAUUGCAAUUGAAACUGUCAUUCUUGAGUGCAGUGGAGGUAAGUGGAAUUCGUGGUGUAGCGGUGAAAUGCUUAGAUAUCACGAAGAACUCCGAUUGUGAAGGCAACUUGCUAUACUGCAACUGACGCUCAUGCACGAUGGUGUGGGUAUCAAACAGGAUUAGAUACCCUCGUAGUC